This 207-nucleotide ribosomal RNA is filed under the name uncultured bacterium. RNAcentral's name for it is "partial 16S ribosomal RNA". It matches the Rfam family "Bacterial small subunit ribosomal RNA", at positions 568 to 774 of the family's 1533-position model. The record is from RNAcentral.
UGCGUAGGUGGUUGUUUAAGUCUGUUGUGAAAGCCCUGGGCUCAACCUGGGAACUGCCUUUGAUACUGGGUAUCUUGAGUAUGGAAGAGGUAAGUGGAAUUCCGAGUGUAGAGGUGAAAUUCGUAGAUAUUCGGAGGAACACCAGUGGCGAAGGCGGCUUACUGGUCCAUUACUGACGCUGAGGUGCGAAAGCGUGGGGAGCAAACA